UUAGAGGAAGUAAAAGUCGUAACAAGGUCUCCGUUGGUGAACCAGCGGAGGGAUCAUUACCGAGUUUACAACUCCCAAACCCAAUGUGAACGUUACCAAACUGUUGCCUCGGCGGGAUCUCUGCCCCGGGUGCGUCGCAGCCCCGGACCAAGGCGCCCGCCGGAGGACCAACCAAAACUCUUAUUGUAUACCCCCUCGCGGGUUUUUUUAUAAUCUGAGCCUUCUCGGCGCCUCUCGUAGGCGUUUCGAAAAUGAAUCAAAACUUUCAACAACGGAUCUCUUGGUUCUGGCAUCGAUGAAGAACGCAGCGAAAUGCGAUAAGUAAUGUGAAUUGCAGAAUUCAGUGAAUCAUCGAAUCUUUGAACGCACAUUGCGCCCGCCAGUAUUCUGGCGGGCAUGCCUGUCCGAGCGUCAUUUCAACCCUCGAACCCCUCCGGGGGGUCGGCGUUGGGGAUCGGCCCUGCCUUGGCGGUGGCCGUCUCCGAAAUACAGUGGCGGUCUCGCCGCAGCCUCUCCUGCGCAGUAGUUUGCACACUCGCAUCGGGAGCGCGGCGCGUCCACAGCCGUUAAACACCCAACUUCUGAAAUGUUGACCUCGGAUCAGGUAGGAAUACCCGCUGAACUUAAGCAUAUCAAUAAGCGGA
This 644-nucleotide ribosomal RNA is filed under the name Trichoderma harzianum. RNAcentral's name for it is "eukaryotic LSU rRNA". The stretch from base 261 to 414 matches the Rfam family "5.8S ribosomal RNA". The record is from RNAcentral. Lineage: Eukaryota; Fungi; Ascomycota; Sordariomycetes; Hypocreales; Hypocreaceae.